RNAcentral lists this long non-coding RNA (349 nucleotides) under Lactuca sativa (garden lettuce). RNAcentral's name for it is "long non-coding RNA (LSAT_LNC001233)". The record is from RNAcentral. Lineage: Eukaryota; Viridiplantae; Streptophyta; Magnoliopsida; Asterales; Asteraceae.
GGAAUCAUAGGGAUUUCUAGGGUUUUUCAAACGUUUACAGUUGUUUUACAAACAUUUUCAUACUUACAGUUCAUCUACAUUUUAUACUUACAGUUCAUAUACAAAUUCUAACAUACAAAUUCUUACAUACAAAUUAAGACACUAAAUACUUAUGAUCUCACCAGCUUCAAAGUUGAUACUCGCUUUCAAAAUUACUUGUAUCCUCAGGUCAUCAUAGACAGGUACCGAUGCAAGGAGAAAGGAAGAUGGAGCUUGUUCAAGACUCAUCUUUCAUUUUGAUUUAUGCUUUAGUGUUUAUCAAAAUUUGACAGAACAUACUUGUAUUAUAAUUCUAUUAUUAAUGAAAUGG